GGCUGAGUGGUUUGAGCACUGAACUAAGGCUCUGGAGACCAGGGUUCGAAUCCCGGCUCAGCCA
This is a non-coding RNA of Phrynosoma platyrhinos (Desert horned lizard), 64 nucleotides long. Lineage: Eukaryota; Metazoa; Chordata; Lepidosauria; Squamata; Phrynosomatidae. The record is from the annotation of a GenBank genome assembly.